Molecule: ribosomal RNA, 253 nt
Filed under: uncultured bacterium
Lineage: Bacteria
Description: partial 16S ribosomal RNA
Rfam family: Bacterial small subunit ribosomal RNA
Source: RNAcentral
UACGUAGGGGGCAAGCGUUGUCCGGAUUUAUUGGGCGUAAAGAGCAUGUAGGCGGCCAGACAGGUCAGCUGUGAAAACUCGAGGCUCAACCUCGAGACGUCGGUUGAAACCGUUUGGCUAGAGUCCGGAAGAGGAGAGUGGAAUUCCCGGUGUAGCGGUGAAAUGCGCAGAUAUCGGGAAGAACACCCGUGGCGAAGGCGGCUCUCUGGGACGGUACUGACGCUGAGACGCGAAAGCGUGGGGAGCGAACAGG